AAUUUUCAGGUUUUCACUUUCAUUCUUAGCACAAAUAUAAGAAAAAUGCGAAUUUCUCAAAGGAGAUGACAAUGGUGCCGAGAAAUCCGUGAGAUGGUUGUACGGGCUAGUGAAGAAUAGACCGUGUUAUUUCCUUCGAGUAAGUCUGAUAUCUACAGGUAAUGGUGAAUGGAUUUAAUAGCUAUUUUUAACAUAUAUUUAAUAUUUAAAUUCUAGUUUUGUGCUUGGAUAAAUUUAUGCCCAUUUUAAUUGCACUCAAUUUAGUUCCUAAUUUGCGAAAUAGCUUAAUAUAUUUUGGAUGAAAUUGUUAUUGCUGAGAACUUCGAGAAAUGUGUUCUUGCUGAUUUGUUCAUUCCUAGGCUGCAAAUGGACUGCAAAAUGCCAAGACCCAGAACCUAUACGAUAUUAUAUUACAACCAAUAUUGUGUUUUGUAUGAAAGAGAUGUUGUGGUAAUAUGUAUAUGCAGAGUACUAAAUAUAUUUUAUAAUUGGUUGCGCAUAUUAAUUGGUCCACUCUUGGCCGAAUUACCUUUUUGUAGGACUCAAGAGCUCAGGUGACUACCAUAUGUCGAAUAAUAGGAACAAUGCCGAAGAUCCAAGCCUUCGUGAUAUAUUGAGAAUGUAGAUGAAUGGAAAUAGAAGGCCACUGGGGUAAAUUAUUGUUCACCUAUAUAGUCACAAUAUUAUAAUUACACGUUCAUCUUAAAUAAAAUUGGAUAAAGCUGUAUUGAGUUUAUGUAUAAUUUUAUAUGCAGCAAAUGAUUUUUAGUACAUAAAAAUAAAAUUUGUUUGUCGCAUGUUUAUUUUUCCUAAUUAUGUCUUUAGUUUUGUACAGAGUUGUUGAAUAAAUCGGAGAAUAAACACAGAGUUGUAAGACUUGAAAGUGCACAAGUGCAAAUUUCAUGUUCUGUUAACAUUUUAACCACUGAAAUCUAACUUAAUCGUUUGGUUUAAUUUGCAGGUUGAAAUUGUUGUUCUGUGUCAUGGCUAGCUUGCAUCUAAAUGUGUUAAGAAGAUAAUAGAGGUAUCUUCUUAACACUUCAAUUUAUUUAUAUUUUGUUUGUUGUUAUUGGGAACUCAGUGCAUAUUUUUGUUUAUGCAUUCUCUUUCCUAUUUGAUAAACGGAUUUGUAUAAGUUUGAAAGGAAAGUGAGAGCAAAAACAAAAUUUCUUCUUCAACUUUUAGAAAUAAUAUUCAUCUUUGCGAAGUCAUUCAUCUUUGCAUUGUUUAGAUGACAAAGUCUUAAACACAAGUUGAAUGAGAAGGAAAUGAAGUUGCAAGAAUGAUAAAGGACGAAAAAGAAGACGACGAUGAUGGAGAUAGAGACUCUAUUGAUUACGAAGGAAAUGAAGAUGCUUUAUAGGAUAUGACUGAAAUUUUUGAUUUCAACUAUGUCGAUACUUUCGAACUUUUGCU
Molecule: long non-coding RNA, 1416 nt
Filed under: Erythranthe guttata (spotted monkey flower)
Lineage: Eukaryota; Viridiplantae; Streptophyta; Magnoliopsida; Lamiales; Phrymaceae
Description: long non-coding RNA (EGUT_LNC002805)
Source: RNAcentral